RNAcentral lists this ribosomal RNA (530 nucleotides) under Halorubrum sodomense. RNAcentral's name for it is "bacterial SSU rRNA". It matches the Rfam family "Archaeal small subunit ribosomal RNA", at positions 303 to 827 of the family's 1478-position model. Lineage: Archaea; Methanobacteriati; Methanobacteriota; Halobacteria; Halobacteriales; Haloferacaceae. The record is from RNAcentral.
CCGCGCCCGUCCCGCCGCCCCCGCCCGACGGGGUGCAGCAGGCGCGAAACCUUUACACUGCACGACAGUGCGAUAGGGGGAUCCCAAGUGCACAGGCAUAGCGCCUGUGCUUUUCGGCACCCUAAGGCGGUGCCAGAAUAAGGGCUGGGCAAGACCGGUGCCAGCCGCCGCGGUAAUACCGGCAGCCCAAGUGAUGGCCGAUCUUAUUGGGCCUAAAGCGUCCGUAGCUGGCCGCGCAAGUCCAUCGGGAAAUCCACCUGCUCAACAGGUGGGCGCCCGGUAGAAACUGCGUGGCUUGGGACCGGAAGGCGCGACGGGUACGUCCGGGGUAGGAGUGAAAUCCCGUAAUCCUGGACGGACCGCCGAUGGCGAAAGCACGUCGCGAGAACGGAUCCGACAGUGAGGGACGAAAGCCAGGGUCUCGAACCGGAUUAGAUACCCGGGUAGUCCUGGCCGUAAACAAUGUCUGCUAGGUGUGGCUCCCACUACGAGUGGGUGCUGUGCCGUAGGGAAGCCGCUAAGCAGACCGC